RNAcentral lists this ribosomal RNA (483 nucleotides) under uncultured bacterium. Its description in RNAcentral is "partial 16S ribosomal RNA". It matches the Rfam family "Bacterial small subunit ribosomal RNA", at positions 30 to 507 of the family's 1533-position model. The record is from RNAcentral.
AUUGAACGCUGGCGGCAGGCCUAACACAUGCAAGUCGAGCGGAUGAGGGAGGUUGCCCCUGGAUUCAGCGGCGGACGGGUGAGUAAAGCCUAGGAAUCUGCCUGGUAGUGGGGGAUAACGUCCGGAAACGGGCGCUAAUACCGCAUACGGCCUGAGGGAGGAAGGGGGGGAUCUUCGGACCCCAAGGUAUCCGAUGAGCCUAGGUCGGAUUAGCUAGUUGGUGGGGUAAAGGCCUACCAAGGCGACGAUCCGUAACUGGUCUGAGAGGAUGAUCAGUCACACUGGAACUGAGACACGGUCCAGACUCCUACGGGAGGCAGCAGUGGGGAAUAUUGGACAAUGGGCGAAAGCCUGAUCCAGCCAUGCCGCGUGUGUGAAGAAGGUCUUCGGAUUGUAAAGCACUUUAAGUUGGGAGGAAGGGCAGUAAGUUAAUACCUUGCUGUUUUGACGUUACCAACAGAAUAAGCACCGGCUAACUUCGUG